UGAAAGAGAGUGAGUUGGUUGACUGGCAUGUUAGGUACUUUAAGUUGUUGUUCGUCCAUGUCUUUAAUGUUAAUCUCUGGAUGAUGGCUGGGCGUUAUGGAG
Long non-coding RNA from Sander lucioperca (pikeperch), 102 nucleotides. RefSeq lists it as uncharacterized. The record is from RefSeq and is a predicted model, not a curated record. NCBI's taxonomy places the organism in Eukaryota, Metazoa, Chordata, Actinopteri, Perciformes, Percidae. The transcript has 3 exons.